Molecule: long non-coding RNA, 1606 nt
Organism: Centruroides sculpturatus (bark scorpion)
Lineage: Eukaryota; Metazoa; Arthropoda; Arachnida; Scorpiones; Buthidae
Exons: 3
Source: RefSeq, a predicted model, not a curated record
UUCUGUUUACGAAUGUUUGUGGCGCAUGUGGGAACUCGUGCCACCGAAUUGUAAAAAAACUUAUGAUCAUUUCGAGCCUCGUCCGACUCGAAGAAAGAAGUUUUCAAUUAUUCUUCUUCGUUUUUCCAUCAGAAAUUGAAGUUUGACAACAUGGAACUGUAAGGAAUUAUAUAAAUGAUUUGAGCAGCAGAGGUGAUGCAGUGUUAAUUGUUGCUGCUAUUCCUUUUAAUGAAAUAUGGCAUCUUGGCAUCAGUGGCAAAAAGAAGGUGAUCCUCCGUCCGCCGGUCCUCCCCAUCCUUGGGGUCAAAGGAUAUGGGGAGAAGGACAGGCCGAAGAACAAGAAGGCCUGAGUACGGCCGAAAUUGUAGCCGCUCAAUCUCAAGAUUACAUAGACGAGAAAGAAUAUCAAUAUUUGCAGACAAUAAAUUAUUUGGCAGAUUUUGAGAUUGGAGUAUGGACUUUUUUGAAAAAUACCUGCUGCAUCCUGGCCGAAUGCCAUAACUCCAUCUGGUCUCUGUACUGUUUCUGACAUACAUUAAUGCAAUCAUGGGAGUAUUUAUAUAUAGAUAUCACACUAAAGUCAUACUUUAAGAAUUGUGGCAACUGGCAAGAAAGUUAAAAAGAUUCUGUGGGCCUAUAGCUUUUAAAACAUUCUGAAGGAAGAGUAAUGACAGAAUUACAAUAAAAUAUUUACUUUAACUGUGUUUGAAAUUAUAUAAAAACAUCAAUAAAAAAGAUUAAAUAAAGCUAAGAAUUUUUAUUUGGUUUAGUGGGAUGUGCUAAUAAUAGUUUUAUCAACGUGAAAUAGCAGAAUUUAGUUGAUUUUGAAACCAUUCCAACUGUGAACAAAUUACUAAUCAUAUUUAUAAAAUUGCAAAUUUUUUUGGUAAAAUCAUAAAAUACUCUUAAAGAAGAUAAUUUUUCAUGAUUGAUUACAUUCAAAAAUUUAAAUAUAUUUAAUAUCAAACUUCAGAAUAAUUUUCUAAAGAGAUGAUAUAAAAUUCUUUAGACACAUUUUACAUUCAUUAUUCUGUUCUUGUAUAAGAUUUCUGGCACCUAUCACAUGCUUCGGAAUCUAUUAUAAUCGCUGACUGACCUUACUUAAGUUGACUUUCCUGUAUUUGUCAAAACAGUCAUAAAUAUUAAAUACCUAAAGAAGUAUCUGAGAAUUUAUUCCUACUUUAAUUUGAACAAGUAGUUAUAUCACUUUGUACAUGAAGAUUACUUUUCUUGUUAUAAAUGUUGAAAAUAUAUUUAAGUUAAUUUUAUAAAGCAUAAAAACUUGUAAUUUGUUUACGUAAGCUUUAAUUAAAAUUCGAUACUUUUAUAUUGAAAACGGAAUUUUUAAAUUCGGAUAUUUGAGAAGGUAAUAUUAUUCUUCUUUGCAAUAGCUAGUGUUAUUGUACGUGACAUUUACAAUCUUAAAUUGAUCAAAUUGUUAAGCAGAAUUAUGCAACAAUGACAGCAUCACUUACUUGUUAGUCAAGCAGUUAAGUAAUUCACUUGUAGAAGAUUGCUAGAUUAAACAUGCUUCUGGAAUAUAAACUUUAUAUAUAAAUUUACAUAUGAUUAAAUAAGCUAUUAAUUUAAUAAAAUUCUGUAUAUU